Molecule: small RNA, 1157 nt
Filed under: Cryptococcus neoformans H99
Lineage: Eukaryota; Fungi; Basidiomycota; Tremellomycetes; Tremellales; Cryptococcaceae
Description: Cryptococcus neoformans var. grubii H99 hypothetical RNA
Source: RNAcentral
UUCCUGUUGACCAUCCUUUUCGCACACUGCCAUCCAUUGAUCGCUACUAAUCUCAGACUCGCCAGACAUACCAGAAUUUUCUUUUGCUAAUGCUUCUUAUUGUUGCUACACGAAUUUCAUAUCUUUAACAAAUCACCAAACCGCAAUGCACUUUCUUCGGGGCAUUACUAUCAGAGUUUGGCUUUGACGCCUACAGUAGCCAAGGGGCUCCCAAUAAACUCACAAUUUUCCUCAUACAUAGUUACACUGCCUUGAGGUCCAAAAAGUCCAGAGGUAUCGACCAUACUCGGCACAACAUCGGCCAUCGUAGGAGCGCCCAACAGUCUCAUGUUCAUCUCGAAUUCAUCCUGUGUUUUGAAGGGGGGAUCAUUAUCCAGCCUUUCCGUUCAGCCAUUGACAUGGCAUAGAUCAUCGGUCUCCCAAUACCCACAGCUGUCGCACCAAGUGCAACGGCUUUCAAGACGUCUGUUGCUCUUCGAACACCACCGUCAACAAAAAUUUCAAACCUAGGCCGAAGGGGAUUGUUCAUGAACCCGUGCGCAGUGAGGUGCUGUACGACCGAAGGAAGAAGGGCCAAGGGGGAAGGGGCAAAGUCAAGCUGACGUCCUCUUAGGCCAUCUGCAUCAGCAACAUCCGGAAAGUAAAAACGACCGUACUAACCCAUGAUUACUUAGUACCACGCCAUCCACUCCUGCCUCAGCCGCCAUGACCGCAUCCUCCCAGCAUUGCACGCCCUUCAAAAUGACUUUGAGGCCUCGCGCCGCAUCGACCAACUCCUUCAAGUCGCUCCAAUUGAGACUCGGGUCGAUGAAGGAAGAGAUGGCGCGUGCUGCACCUUGAUCUCGUUGAUAUUUGUCACCGCCUUUCGUCUGUUGAGCAGAGGCUGCACCUUCAAAUUUGGUGCGCAUGUCCUAAGAAGAGGUUACAUGGAGUUUGGAAUUCGUUGGCGGAGACUCACUUUCUCUCGGCGACCGAGCUGGGUACGCUCACGAUCGGCGUUGACGUAGCUAGGGAUAUCAGUAUAGAUUUGGUGGUUAUUAGAAGCAUCCACCAUCUCGUCAAACCCGCAAGAUGCAAGAGUAGGGAUCUUGUCCUAAGUUAGGGGUUGUAUGCACUAUAUGUGGCUGGCUGACUCACCAUUUGUAUGAUAUUGUGUU